CCCCGCGCCCCUCCCUCCACGGCAGCCCGCCCUUGUGCCCGCCCCUCCACUGUUCUAGGCCGCGGGCGCAUCUAGUGGUUGGAGAAGAGCAGAGCAGAUCCUUGCCGUUCCCGGCGAGUCGGCGGCGACACCGCUGGAGAAGAAGACGUCCGUGACCGCAUCGGCAUCGGCAUCGGCAUCCGCGUCUCCUUCCCCACCCCCCCCCCCCCCCCCUCACCCGUGAGGCUCGCUCUCCCUCCCCCUGCGCCGAAACCCUAGGUGUUGAAAGCACAGAGAACUACAAAGGAGAAAGGAUAUUCUGAUGUCCUUUAUUUGGAUGCCGUUCACAACAAAUAUCUGGAAGAAGUUUCUUCAUGCAAUAUUUUCGUCGUGAAAUGCAGCAACAACAAUAAGGGAGGUAAAGGAGGAGAUUGGGCUUGAUCCAGCCUUGGUCACUCUCGUUUCCUCGCUUGAGCACUUCUUGCAUCAUAAUAAUCUUCACAUUUUAGUUGCAUCAUAAUAAUCUUCUUCUUCUAGUCUUCUUCUUCUAACUUUCUUCUUUCCCAUUUUACAGAUUUGCUUAAGAUCACGGAAGCUUGGGUUGAUGGAGUGCUUGUAUUUAGUUUUUGUUUUGACCUUGUGAAACUUGUUACCUAUGGAUGAAACUAUGUAAUAUUGAUGAAAC
This is a long non-coding RNA of Triticum urartu, 664 nucleotides long. RefSeq lists it as uncharacterized. NCBI's taxonomy places the organism in Eukaryota, Viridiplantae, Streptophyta, Magnoliopsida, Poales, Poaceae. The record is from RefSeq and is a predicted model, not a curated record.